CAGCCGCCGCGGUAAUACGAAGGGUGCAAGCGUUACUCGGAAUUACUGGGCGUAAAGCGUGCGUAGGCGGUUUGUUAAGUCUGUUGUGAAAUCCCCGGGCUCAACCUGGGAAUGGCAGUGGAUACUGGCUCGCUAGAGUGUGUCAGAGGAUGGUGGAAUUCCCGGUGUAGCGGUGAAAUGCGUAGAGAUCGGGAGGAACAUCAGUGGCGAAGGCGGCCAUCUGGGACAACACUGACGCUGAGGCACGAAAGCGUGGGGAGCAAACAGGAUUAGAUACCCCAGUAGUCCCUGUCUCUUAUAC
This 301-nucleotide ribosomal RNA is filed under the name uncultured bacterium. Its description in RNAcentral is "partial 16S ribosomal RNA". It matches the Rfam family "Bacterial small subunit ribosomal RNA", at positions 509 to 807 of the family's 1533-position model. The record is from RNAcentral.